CCGAAGCCGCCGGGCCGGGCUGCGGCGGGAGCUGCCCGGCGCAGGGGUGGGGACUGGCCGCUUCCUUAAACGGCGCGGGACCGGCGGAGCGAGCCCGCACCGCCCCGGUGCGCCGGGCCGCGCCGACCCUCCCGGGACGCGGCCGCAACACGUGGAGCGAACUUUUGAGGGACGCGUGUCUGCGCCGGACGGGACUCUCGCCGCCCGCGACCGCAACGCUGCACGGAGCAGCUCGUCUCUCUCCGGUUUGAUGGCUCUGGGAGCAUUUCAACUGCUUUUCUUAAAGCUGAAUUCUUUAUAAAGGAGAAGUGACUACAAACCCUGAACUGAGUCCCAGGUCUGGCUUAACUUUGUAAGGCACAGUGACACACUGAGGCUGCUCCACUUAAGGUAUGGUAUGAACCAGGAGCUGAUCCCGUGGCUGUGGAAUGAGUGUUCACAUGGAGUCAUCCUGCUGUAGCUAUUGCAGCUGCUGUGUAAGCAAGUUCUAAAGGACAAUCCUAGUCCCAGUGACAGUGUGACAGAUAAGACAGACAGUGGGCACAAGGAAGGCACCGCUGUCAAUGAAGGAUGGAUUCUGUUCAACCCGCAGGGAACAAAGAAACUUGGGCUGCUCAAGGCCCCACAGAACUGUCCAGGAGUGUCCUUUGUGCCAGCUGAUUCCAGGAAUGUGACACUUUUGGAACUGUUCGUGUCAGAACUUCCUGCUUUGACACCUGUGUUUCAGAGACUGCCUCAUCAUAGGAAACCCCAAAUCUGCUGCUCCUCUCCACAAGGACUUCUGUAUCCAGCAACUCUCGUGUCUUCUUUGGAUACUGAAACGAGAUGAAAGGGCUUGAGUAUUUCCUUGGCAAGAUGGGUGGAUGGAAUUUAUUUAGUCUGUUCUGAUUCUGACACCUACAAGUCAACUGACCCAAUCACCUCUUCUGCUAACAGGCUGCAAAACAACACUCUACUACUGUGGAAUAUUCUUUGUGAUGAAAACAGGAGGAUUGGGAAUGGGGGUUUGUAACUUUUUUGAAUGAGUUUCUGUUACAAUUUUUAUCUUUAAUAUCAACACUUUAAAUAAGGACAUUUAUAUGUUAAAAACCACAUUUUUUAAACACGUUUUUUGCUCUGAAAUACUGGAAUACGCCUCCUCAGCCUCUUCCUACCUCAGCUCUGCCACUGUGAAGAGAAGCCACCCAUGGAUUUUAAGGUCAGAAGGAAAAGUCAGAACUUCUAACAGAGGAUGUGCACAGAACAACUCCUGCAGUUCAUCCUGCAGCCCAGACCCUGAUGAAUGGAUCUUUUUCUUAUGUGCUGUGGGAACUCUGCCUAUAGAAAUGUCUGAGAAGCUGUUCCAGGGCUUCAUAACCUUGUAUCUUGUUUCUUGUGGCAAGCUGCAAGUUGCCUGCUUUUCCUGGCCUCUGUGGACAAAACCCUCCAUGUGUGUGACUGCAUGUGGGAAAUAGGAGAGCACUGUGAUUUGGUGCUGGUUUUGUCAGAUCGUCUCCAAAGCAGCUCCCCCAGGUGUCACACUGCCUGUCAGAGAGGAGGGCUGGUGCAGCAGAGGUCUGUAGGAUCAUUUGGUAAGUGGCCAGGGGCUCACAUGAGUAUCCCUAGUGCACAUCCUGCAGUGGGAUCCAGCCUCCUGCAGUGGGAUCCAGCCCUGCUGGUCCCUCUUUAGCACUUGAGAACAUUGUCAGCAGACCAAAGUGCAUUUCUUAGUACCCACACUAAGCCUCUAAGACUUCAAGAACAAAUCUGACUAGACUGAAUUUUCUUUCUUUUUAAAGUUCAGUGCCACCUAACACCUCCAAUUUAGCUUGGGAAAAAACCAGGAAUACCUAAAAUAAAGGUGUUUUGAAAAGUA
Molecule: long non-coding RNA, 1855 nt
Organism: Serinus canaria (Common canary)
Lineage: Eukaryota; Metazoa; Chordata; Aves; Passeriformes; Fringillidae
Exons: 2
Source: RefSeq, a predicted model, not a curated record